This 72-nucleotide transfer RNA is filed under the name Clonostachys rosea. RNAcentral describes it as "tRNA-Phe". It matches the Rfam family "tRNA". Rfam says of the family: Transfer RNA (tRNA) molecules are approximately 80 nucleotides in length. Their secondary structure includes four short double-helical elements and three loops (D, anti-codon, and T loops). RNAcentral also lists the same sequence under 5 other names. The record is from RNAcentral. Lineage: Eukaryota; Fungi; Ascomycota; Sordariomycetes; Hypocreales; Bionectriaceae.
GCUCGAGAAGCUCAGAGGUUGAGCGGAACGUUGAAGUUGUUUAGGUCGUGAGUUCGAAUCCCACCUUGGGCA